Molecule: unclassified non-coding RNA, 262 nt
Filed under: Hevea brasiliensis (rubber tree)
Lineage: Eukaryota; Viridiplantae; Streptophyta; Magnoliopsida; Malpighiales; Euphorbiaceae
Source: RNAcentral
CCGGGUCGGAUUCCCCCGGAGCUUGGGAACUUGACCAACCUGGAGAUUUUGUGGCUCACUGAAUGUAAUUUAGUGGGUGAAAUUCCUGACUCUCUAGGUCGACUCAAGAACCUCAAGGAUUUGGACGUUGCAGUUAAUAAUUUAGUCGGCAACAUCCCGAUUUCACUCACUGAGUUGACUAGCGUGUUUCAAAUCGAGCUCUAUAACAACUCGCUGACUGGUGAGUUGCCACGAGGCUUGGGAAAUUUGACAUCAUUGAGAC